This 504-nucleotide ribosomal RNA is filed under the name uncultured bacterium. Its description in RNAcentral is "bacterial SSU rRNA". It matches the Rfam family "Bacterial small subunit ribosomal RNA", at positions 107 to 607 of the family's 1533-position model. The record is from RNAcentral.
UGAGUAAUGUCUGGGAAACUGCCUGAUGGAGGGGGAUAACUACUGGAAACGGUAGCUAAUACCGCAUAACGUCGCAAGACCAAAGAGGGGGACCUUCGGGCCUCUUGCCAUCAGACGUGCCCAGAUGGGAUUAGCUAGUAGGUGGGGUAAUGGCUCACCUAGGCGACGAUCCCUAGCUGGUCUGAGAGGAUGACCAGCCACACUGGAACUGAGACACGGUCCAGACUCCUACGGGAGGCAGCAGUGGGGAAUAUUGCACAAUGGGCGCAAGCCUGAUGCAGCCAUGCCGCGUGUGUGAAGAAGGCCUUCGGGUUGUAAAGCACUUUCAGCGAGGAGGAAGGUGGUGAGCUUAAUACGCUCAUCAAUUGACGUUACUCGCAGAAGAAGCACCGGCUAACUCCGUGCCAGCAGCCGCGGUAAUACGGAGGGUGCAAGCGUUAAUCGGAAUUACUGGGCGUAAAGCGCACGCAGGCGGUUUGUUAAGUCAGAUGUGAAAUCCCCGGG